UGCUACAGAAACAAAGUGAGGUCACGAACACCUAAGACGCCAGCACCAACUCCUCCUUCCGGACAACGUGAGGCUCUUAGCAUCAGCCAAGACAUGGAAGCAACCUAAACGUCCAUUGACAGAUGAAUGGAUAAAGAAGAUGUGGUACAUAUAUACAGUGGAAUGUUACUCAGCCAUACAAGAGAAUGAAAUAAUGCCAUUUGCAGCAACAUGGAUGGACCUGGAGAUUAUCAUACUAAGUGAAGCCCACACACCCGAUGAGACCUGCUCACCCCAGGACCUGAUUAAGAAGCCCUAUCGUAAAGCGACGGAAUGAAGGUGCUGCUCAGAUGUCUCUCAGAAACAGGAAAUGGGAGGCCUGAGAGAGUAGAUUUUGUGCAUCCUUCUUGCUUUGGAGUAUGCUGCCAGAGCCGCCUUUAAGAGCAACAUGAUUUAAAGUGACUGCAGGGAAGACUUAGGAGUGAGGUGCUGAAACUAACCCUGCCGGUGAUCAUUGGAAGGUAAGUUAAGAAACACUUCAGUAGCAAAAGUAGGAGCAAAGCAAAUGAAAAAUUAGUAUAAUACGCUAGUAAUCACCAGCCUUCACCCAUCAGGUCUCAUUUAUGAGCACAAUGCCCUUCCAGGAGGCAGUGGCCCACGAACGGCUGAAAUGCACGGAAGGCCCCGAGUAAAGCCGGAGAGAAUGGACCUGCUACAGCUGUGCUGUGCGCAGGGAUGCGGGGGCAAGUGAUGCUGUGAGCAAGUCCCGCCCCGGGAAGCCGGCAUCAAACCUGCGAGCGCUGAGGCCAGAGCUGCCUCCCAAACACCAGCACAAGCCCGCGCGGGGCGUGGACCCGCCCGCUGCCGCUUGCCGUGUCCUGCUCCUCCGGUGGCCUCACUGGCAUGUCCUCCCCGGCGCCCCUGGCCCUCCAGGACCCCCUGAGCAAGGCCCGGGGGCCGGCCGGCCCAAUCACCGGCCCCUUCUGUAGCCACAUGUG
Long non-coding RNA from Balaenoptera acutorostrata (minke whale), 977 nucleotides. RefSeq lists it as uncharacterized. Lineage: Eukaryota; Metazoa; Chordata; Mammalia; Artiodactyla; Balaenopteridae. The transcript has 4 exons. The record is from RefSeq and is a predicted model, not a curated record.